This 72-nucleotide transfer RNA is filed under the name Camelus bactrianus (Bactrian camel). It matches the Rfam family "tRNA". From Rfam's summary of the family: Transfer RNA (tRNA) molecules are approximately 80 nucleotides in length. Their secondary structure includes four short double-helical elements and three loops (D, anti-codon, and T loops). Further hydrogen bonds mediate the characteristic L-shaped molecular structure. tRNAs have two regions of fundamental functional importance: the anti-codon, which is responsible for specific mRNA codon recognition, and the 3' end, to which the tRNAs corresponding amino acid is attached (by aminoacyl-tRNA synthetases). tRNAs cope with the degeneracy of the genetic code in two manners: having more than one tRNA (with a specific anti-codon) for a particular amino acid; and 'wobble' base-pairing, i.e. permitting non-standard base-pairing at the 3rd anti-codon position. The record is from Rfam by way of RNAcentral. RNAcentral also lists the same sequence under 2 other names. Lineage: Eukaryota; Metazoa; Chordata; Mammalia; Artiodactyla; Camelidae.
GGGUAUAUAGCUCAGUGGUAAAGUGUGUGCUUAGCACACAUGAGAUCCUGGGUUCAAUUCCCAGUACUUCCA